This 667-nucleotide ribosomal RNA is filed under the name uncultured bacterium. RNAcentral describes it as "bacterial SSU rRNA". It matches the Rfam family "Bacterial small subunit ribosomal RNA", at positions 140 to 805 of the family's 1533-position model. The record is from RNAcentral.
GGGAUAACCUUGCGAAAGUAAGACUAAUACCCAAUGACGUCUCUAGAAGACAUCUGAAAGAGAUUAAAGAUUUAUCGGUGAUGGAUGGGGAUGCGUCUGAUUAGCUUGUUGGCGGGGUAACGGCCCACCAAGGCAACGAUCAGUAGGGGUUCUGAGAGGAAGGUCCCCCACAUUGGAACUGAGACACGGUCCAAACUCCUACGGGAGGCAGCAGUGAGGAAUAUUGGUCAAUGGGCGAGAGCCUGAACCAGCCAAGUAGCGUGCAGGAUGACGGCCCUAUGGGUUGUAAACUGCUUUUAUAAGGGAAUAAAGUGGGAGUCGUGACUCCUUUUGCAUGUACCUUAUGAAUAAGGACCGGCUAAUUCCGUGCCAGCAGCCGCGGUAAUACGGAAGGUCCGGGCGUUAUCCGGAUUUAUUGGGUUUAAAGGGAGCGUAGGCCGGAGAUUAAGCGUGUUGUGAAAUGUAGACGCUCAACGUCUGCACUGCAGCGCGAACUGGUUUCCUUGAGUACGCACAAAGUGGGCGGAAUUCGUGGUGUAGCGGUGAAAUGCUUAGAUAUCACGAAGAACUCCGAUUGCGAAGGCAGCUCACUGGAGCGCAACUGACGCUGAAGCUCGAAAGUGCGGGUAUCGAACAGGAUUAGGUACCCUGGUAGUCCGCACGGUAA